This 468-nucleotide ribosomal RNA is filed under the name uncultured bacterium. RNAcentral's name for it is "partial 16S ribosomal RNA". It matches the Rfam family "Bacterial small subunit ribosomal RNA", at positions 28 to 507 of the family's 1533-position model. The record is from RNAcentral.
GACGAACGCUGGCGGCGUGCCUAAUACAUGCAAGUCGAACGGAAAGGCCCUGCUCUUGCGGCGCGCUCGAGUGGCGAACGGGUGAGUAUCGCGCGUGUAACCUCUCCCUGUCUUUGGGAUAACUCUUGGAAACUCGGGCUCUUAUCCCGUAUGAGCUCUUGCUGCAUGGUGGGGGAUGGUAAGUGUCGGCGGUGCGGGAUGGACUCGCGGCUUAUCAGCUUGUUGGUGUGGUAGUGGCUUACCAAGGCUUCGACGGGUAGCCGGCCUGAGAGGGUGACCGGCCACAAUAGGACUACGGUACGGCCCAGACUCCUACGGGAGGCAACGGUGGAAAGUAUUACGGAGUGAGCGGACGCCUGAUACAACGGCGCCGCGUGCGGAAUAACGGCCUACGGGUUAUAAACCACUUUCGCCUGUGACGAAGAGUGAGUGACGGUAAUGAAUAAGAAAGCACCGGCUAACUACGUG